UACAGAGGGUGCAAGCGUUGUUCGGAAUUAUUGGGCGUAAAGCGCGCGUAGGCGGCUUUGCAAGUCGGGUGUGAAAUCCCCAGGCUCAACCUGGGAACUGCAUUCGAGACUGCAUUGCUAGAGUAUGGGAGAGGGAAGUGGAAUUUCAGGUGUAGCGGUGAAAUGCGUAGAUAUCUGAAGGAACAUCAGUGGCGAAAGCGACUUCCUGGACCAAUACUGACGCUCAUGUGCGAAAGCGUGGGGAGCAAACAGG
RNAcentral lists this ribosomal RNA (253 nucleotides) under uncultured bacterium. RNAcentral describes it as "partial 16S ribosomal RNA". It matches the Rfam family "Bacterial small subunit ribosomal RNA", at positions 524 to 776 of the family's 1533-position model. The record is from RNAcentral.